CCUACGGGAGGCAGCAGUGGGGAAUUUUGGACAAUGGGCGCAAGCCUGAUCCAGCCAUGCCGCGUGAGUGAAGAAGGCCUUCGGGUUGUAAAGCUCUUUCGGCGGGGAAGAAAAGGUUCGUGCUAAUACCACGAACUAAUGACGGUACCCGAAGAAGAAGCACCGGCUAACUACGUGCCAGCAGCCGCGGUAAUACGUAGGGUGCAGGCGUUAAUCGGAAUUACUGGGCGUAAAGCGUGCGCAGGCGGUUUGUUAAGACAGAUGUGAAAUCCCCGGGCUUAACCCCAGACCUGCAUUCGAUACGGGCGAGCUUGAGUAUGGUAGGGGAGUCUGGAAUUCCUGGUGUAGCGGUGGAAUGCGCAGAUAUCAGGAGGAACACCAAUGGCGAAGGCAGGACUCUGGGCCAUUACUGACACUGAGGAGCGAAAGCGUGGGGAGCGAACAGGAUUAGAUACCCUGGUAGUCCACGCCGUAAACGGUGGGCACUAGUUGUGGGGACCUUCCACGGUCUCUGCGACGCAGCUAACGCAUUAAGUGCCCCGCUGGGGAUACGAUCGCAAGUUAAAACNAAGAUGACGNUGAGACGNGCGAGACGACGACGAGGAGAGG
This 609-nucleotide ribosomal RNA is filed under the name uncultured bacterium. RNAcentral describes it as "bacterial SSU rRNA". The stretch from base 1 to 544 matches the Rfam family "Bacterial small subunit ribosomal RNA", at positions 338 to 873 of the family's 1533-position model. The record is from RNAcentral.